GAGUUUGAUCGUGGCUCAGAUUGAACGCUGGCGGCAUGCCUUACGCAUGCAAGUCGAACGGCAGCACGGGAGCUUGCUCCUGGUGGCGAGUGGCGAACGGGUGAGUAAUGCAUCGGAACGUAUCCUGGAGUGGGGGAUAACGUAGCGAAAGUUACGCUAAUACCGCAUAUUCUGUGAGCAGGAAAGCGGGGGACCUUCGGGCCUCGCGCUCUUGGAGCGGCCGAUGUCGGAUUAGCUAGUUGGUGAGGUAAAGGCUCACCAAGGCGACGAUCCGUAGCAGGUCUGAGAGGAUGAUCUGCCACACUGGAACUGAGACACGGUCCAGACUCCUACGGGAGGCAGCAGUGGGAAUUUUGGACAAUGGGGGCAACCCUGAUCCAGCCAUGCCGCGUGAGUG
Molecule: ribosomal RNA, 397 nt
Filed under: bacterium enrichment culture clone ALO1_GLFRUDD03F8ZYV
Lineage: Bacteria
Description: bacterial SSU rRNA
Rfam family: Bacterial small subunit ribosomal RNA
Source: RNAcentral